RNAcentral lists this transfer RNA (73 nucleotides) under Stegodyphus mimosarum. It matches the Rfam family "tRNA". Rfam says of the family: Transfer RNA (tRNA) molecules are approximately 80 nucleotides in length. Their secondary structure includes four short double-helical elements and three loops (D, anti-codon, and T loops). Further hydrogen bonds mediate the characteristic L-shaped molecular structure. tRNAs have two regions of fundamental functional importance: the anti-codon, which is responsible for specific mRNA codon recognition, and the 3' end, to which the tRNAs corresponding amino acid is attached (by aminoacyl-tRNA synthetases). tRNAs cope with the degeneracy of the genetic code in two manners: having more than one tRNA (with a specific anti-codon) for a particular amino acid; and 'wobble' base-pairing, i.e. permitting non-standard base-pairing at the 3rd anti-codon position. The record is from Rfam by way of RNAcentral. Lineage: Eukaryota; Metazoa; Arthropoda; Arachnida; Araneae; Eresidae.
GCCUUCGUGGUGUAGUGGUCAGCACGCUGGGCGCGUAUUCCAGAGGCCCGUGGUUCGAGUCCCGGCGAAGGCG